Aegilops tauschii subsp. strangulata is the source of this 2439-nucleotide long non-coding RNA. RefSeq lists it as uncharacterized. The record is from RefSeq and is a predicted model, not a curated record. NCBI's taxonomy places the organism in Eukaryota, Viridiplantae, Streptophyta, Magnoliopsida, Poales, Poaceae.
CAUCUCCCGAUCAUGGUUGUUCCCACGUCUGUUCUCGGCGCUACCCGUCUCAGCGCCCUCUCUUCCGGGGUCCCUCUCCAACCUUCUCUCCACGCGACUAUGGUGACGGCGCACAGAGAUCGUCAGAAACGGCGUGUGUGCGGGAAGCAGGAUUAAGGCGGCGACGGCAUGCCAUUCUCGUCGCUGUUGUUCAUGUUCUCGCUGUCGUCGCCUCUCCACCUCUUCCGAUCUCAUUACGUUUUUCUUUUCCUGCUACAGUUCAUGGUGCCCUAACGCUGAGGGGAGCUGUGGAAAGACCGGAAGCUGCCAGGGACAUCGAGGGCAGCCCGCUGGGCGUGCAGUCAAUGGAGCCGCACAAGGCACCAGGGAUCGCUUGGGGUGCGGCCGCAAAGGGGGGUUCUGUCGCCGCCACCAGGGGCCUGUAUCAGGCAAGGAGCUGCGUCGAGUCGAUGUCGAUGCUGCUCUGAGGAGCGAGAACCUGCAUCGCCAUCGCCGGGUGGGUCUGCCUCUCGCCGUUCGAGCGGGAUUGCCGCCAGCGCCGCCCUCGGAUAUCUUCGUCUAAGGAGGAGCAGCCACCACCAUGGAGGAGCCGGCUGCGCCGUUCUAUCUGUUUUACCGAGAAAAGCCGGGGAGCUGCUGGCAUCUUGCACGACGGCGUCGCCUGCGGGUCGACCAAUUUCUUCUCGACGCUCUACAACAUCGACUGCUGGGGCGUGCGACUGCUGCCUAUGCCGCACCGCCGUACCCCCACCCCAGCUGCGUGCUUUGUUGCCUCUCUCAAUGGCCUGAGGGAACAGGCGCGGAGGUGCCGCCCAAGCGUCGGCAUUCCUCUCGCACGCGGCCAUGCUGCUACUGCCUUCGUUUUACAGACCAUGGAACAUGGAACCACAGAUCAGUUCAGCAGCGACUUUGGUCUGAACACGUCCUUGGCCAUCCUGGGUGACGACUCUGAUCUGGGAUGACUGUAUGUCAUCUCUGUUCUGUUCAGUUUCAGGGUAAUUGAGUGGUACUCUCCUUGGACGCACAUAGCGAUUUAUCCUGGGAUUUGUUCUGUUUGCUCAAACUGCCUUUUGCUUUGCGGCAUGGGAUUGGUUAGUUUUCGGUUUGGCAGCUGAUAGGUGAGUGCACUGACAGGGCACAAAUUUCGGGGAUGUGAUUACCUGCAUGGCAAUGGAUGUGACUACGUGCAUGUGAUUAGCUUAAGCGUUUCUUAAUCAUUAUUAAUUUUUUCGAUUGAGAUAUUUUUCCUCGAUGUGAUUAGCUUAGGCGUUUUUGAAUUAUUAUUAUUUUCUUCUGAUUGAGAUGUUUUUCCUUCAUGUGAUUAGCCAUGUCCUCUGGCAGUACGUCCUGUUCUCCACCAACCUCUGCCCCGUCGGCCCAAUAUCGAACGAAGCAUGUCCUUCUCUCCCAAUGAUGGUUUCGCUUUGAUCUUUAAACACGUCAUAGGAUAGCGGCCCCAUUGCUCCUGGCCAUGCUUCUUCCCGCCUCCGAUCGUGAGCGGUUCAAGGGCGUGCUCACUAUAGCAUCACCUGAUUAUCAAUGAUCAUUAACUAUCACACAUUUGAAGUCACAAAGAGAAACCUGUUUCCAAUGCAAGAGAAGGCACGCACCAACCAAUGAAAGUUCAACAUGUAACCGCCUAGCAAAAUAAAUUCACAAGACAGACUAAGAUCCUAGCAAAAUAAAUUCACAAGACAGAUUAAGAUCCUGGCAAAGAUAUGCACCAAUUUGCAAAAGAUCUAUACAAGUUCAUCACAGGCAGGAAGCCGCGCUAUCAUAAAUAAAUGAAAUGUGUUUAGUCUUAUUAAGAAAGUGUCGAUGUGUAUUUUGGACUUUGUAAGAUGUAGCACUCAUGCUAAUAAUUAGUGUAUUGUCCUCAAUUUGCUUUUAUCAUGUCUUGCCUUUUUUUCCAUUACAAACUUAUGAAUUUGCUUUUAUGCAUGUUUUGCCUUUUUCAUACUAACAUAUGGACCUAAAGAUUUUCAUUUUAAGUUUAAGUUUAUAAAACAAGACAAAAGCAACAUAUAUACAAAACUUUACAUUAAUACAUAUGCAUGUUGAUGAUAAAUAUGUCAUUUCUAGCUUCUUUUAUGAUUGUAACCUCAACUAUCUAGCUCUCUUGCUUUAAAUUGAGUUUAACUGUAAAAAUAAAAGUAACAUAUAUAAACACAACGUAUCGACGAGGCGCGGCGUGGCGCCGCGCGGGUACAUGCUAAUAUAUAUCUAAUCCUGGUUCUUUUGUCCGACUUUGGAAGUGAAGAUAGAAGUCUCAUUGUUUUCUUUAUUGUGACAUAGGGAAGUUUUGGAUGGGAAGGAUGAACAACCAGAUGUUGUCGUGGUGAAGGCCGAGGCCAUGAUGAUGGAUGGGAGCAUUUCGUAGUCGUCAAGUUUUGUUACCUGUCUUGGUUGUUUCAGAAUUGAUAGUUGUGUUGGCAGGGA